AGUCCCAUAGUCUAGUGGUCAAGGAUACGAGACUCUGACUCUCGUGACCCAGGUUCGAAUCCUGGUGGGGCUA
This 73-nucleotide transfer RNA is filed under the name archaeon. RNAcentral's name for it is "tRNA-Gln". It matches the Rfam family "tRNA". Rfam says of the family: Transfer RNA (tRNA) molecules are approximately 80 nucleotides in length. Their secondary structure includes four short double-helical elements and three loops (D, anti-codon, and T loops). Further hydrogen bonds mediate the characteristic L-shaped molecular structure. tRNAs have two regions of fundamental functional importance: the anti-codon, which is responsible for specific mRNA codon recognition, and the 3' end, to which the tRNAs corresponding amino acid is attached (by aminoacyl-tRNA synthetases). tRNAs cope with the degeneracy of the genetic code in two manners: having more than one tRNA (with a specific anti-codon) for a particular amino acid; and 'wobble' base-pairing, i.e. permitting non-standard base-pairing at the 3rd anti-codon position. The record is from RNAcentral. RNAcentral also lists the same sequence under 2 other names.